CUACACAUGCAGUCGAGCGGUAGAGAGAAGCUUGCUUCUCUUGAGAGCGGCGGACGGGUGAGUAAUGCCUAGGAAUCUGCCUAGUGGUGGGGGAUAACGUUCGGAAACGGACGCUAAUACCGCAUACGUCCUACGGGAGAAAGCGGGGGACCUUCGGGCCUCGCGCCAUUAGAUGAGCCUAGGUCGGAUUAGCUAGUUGGUGAGGUAAUGGCUCACCAAGGCUACGAUCCGUAACUGGUCUGAGAGGAUGAUCAGUCACACUGGAACUGAGACACGGUCCAGACUCCUACGGGAGGCAGCAGUGGGGAAUAUUGGACAAUGGGCGAAAGCCUGAUCCAGCCAUGCCGCGUGUGUGAAGAAGGUCUUCGGAUUGUAAAGCACUUUAAGUUGGGAGGAAGGGUAGUAACUUAAUACGUUGCUACUUUGACGUUACCGACAGAAUAAGCACCGGCUAACUUCGUGCCAGCAGCCGCGGUAAUACGAAGGGUGCAAGCGUUAAUCGGAAUUACUGGGCGUAAAGCGCGCGUAGGUGGUUCAGUAAGUUGGAUGUGAAAUCCCCGGGCUCAACCUGGGAACUGCAUCC
RNAcentral lists this ribosomal RNA (583 nucleotides) under unidentified microorganism. RNAcentral describes it as "bacterial SSU rRNA". It matches the Rfam family "Bacterial small subunit ribosomal RNA", at positions 49 to 628 of the family's 1533-position model. The record is from RNAcentral.